Molecule: long non-coding RNA, 394 nt
Filed under: Fukomys damarensis (Damara mole-rat)
Lineage: Eukaryota; Metazoa; Chordata; Mammalia; Rodentia; Bathyergidae
Description: lncRNA (ENSFDAG00000028574.1)
Source: RNAcentral
UGAAAAUAAUGGGAAAGGGCUGCCCAGAGCUCUGCAUUGUCCUCAAGAUAUCUGCUCACGAGUGUGGCUGUGUCCAACCAAGUUAAUGCUGAGGAAAUUUUGGGUUCCUGGACCCUACAAUUUUACCACAAAGCAACCAAGUUCCAGCAGAAAUGUGAGCCCUUUGCCAGAAAGACAAGCAUGGCUACCCCAAUGACUGCUGGAGGCAUCCCUGAAGAUAUCCAGGAGACUAGAAAUGGCUGCAACCUCUAUACAAGGUUCAUUUAUUUAUUUUAAAGUCCUUAUCAUAAACACAGAUUAACAGCCAAACUAACAAGCCAAGAAAACACAUAGACAAUUAUACCAAAUCAAGGUACACAUAUUUUUCUCUUUUUUCCUAUUGUCAUUUAUUUUG